AAAGGCAUAAAGCGCUUCACGCUGCUUCCUGCCUUCAACGACAGGAAACUGAGUUUGUUACACAAAUCUCUGGAAGAUAUGAAGCUAGAGCGAGCCGUUACUGUCUGUAGCUACUGAACACAGUGUGAUAGCAUACUUUAUCUGCCAGAGCUCAGUUCCCAAUUGUACUAAGGUUUCCAAACCCACAUUUCAGUUUUAGCCAAUGGGAGAGCUGGCAAACUCCAGUAAGCAUCACCGUUAACUCCUCAAAUCGCCCUGUUUGGGGAGAGGGGAGGUGAGCAGGGGGAGGCUAAGACUUAUUAACUUCAUUAUAUUAUUGCUGACAGUGUUUAUGUCUUUCAAUUUAUGUCUUAUUAAACAUUCAUUAUUUUUAAACCC
RNAcentral lists this long non-coding RNA (378 nucleotides) under Lynx pardinus (Iberian lynx). Lineage: Eukaryota; Metazoa; Chordata; Mammalia; Carnivora; Felidae. The record is from RNAcentral.